Molecule: ribosomal RNA, 518 nt
Filed under: uncultured fungus
Lineage: Eukaryota; Fungi
Description: SSU rRNA
Rfam family: Eukaryotic small subunit ribosomal RNA
Source: RNAcentral
AUUAGAUACAAAGCCAAUGCCCCUCGGGGCUCUCUGGUGAUUCAUGAUAACUCGUCGAAUCGCACGGCCUUGCGCCGGCGAUGGUUCAUUCAAAUUUCUUCCCUAUCAACUUUCGAUGUUUGGGUAGUGGCCAAACAUGGUGGCAACGGGUAACGGAGGGUUAGGGCUCGACCCCGGAGAAGGAGCCUGAGAAACGGCUACUACAUCCAAGGAAGGCAGCAGGCGCGCAAAUUACCCAAUCCCGAUACGGGGAGGUAGUGACAAUAAAUACUGAUACAGGGCUCUUUUGGGUCUUGUAAUUGGAAUGAGUACAAUUUAAAUCCCUUAACGAGGAACAAUUGGAGGGCAAGUCUGGUGCCAGCAGCCGCGGUAAUUCCAGCUCCAAUAGCGUAUAUUAAAGUUGUUGUGGUUAAAAAGCUCGUAGUUGAAUCUUGGGCCUGGCUGGCCGGUCCGCCCUCACCGCGUGUACUGGUCCGGCCGGGUCUUUCACUCUGCGGAAACACAUGCCCUUCAGUGGG